GUGCCAGCAGCCGCGGUAAUACGGAGGAUGCAAGCGUUAUCCGGAAUGAUUGGGCGUAAAGCGUCCGCAGGUGGCUAUGUAAGUCUGCUGUUAAAGAGUCUGGCUCAACCAGAUAAAGGCAGUGGAAACUACAUGGCUAGAGUGCGUUCGGGGCAGAGGGAAUUCCUGGUGUAGCGGUGAAAUGCGUAGAGAUCAGGAAGAACACCGGUGGCGAAAGCGCUCUGCUAGGCCGCAACUGACACUGAGGGACGAAAGCUAGGGGAGCGAAUGGGAUUAGAAACCCUCGUAGUCC
RNAcentral lists this ribosomal RNA (292 nucleotides) under uncultured bacterium. RNAcentral's name for it is "partial 16S ribosomal RNA". It matches the Rfam family "Bacterial small subunit ribosomal RNA", at positions 505 to 796 of the family's 1533-position model. The record is from RNAcentral.